UGCCAGACUCCUACGGGAGGCAGCAGUGAGGAAUAUUGGUCAAUGGACGAGAGUCUGAACCAGCUAAGUAGCGUGAAGGAUGACUGCCCUAUGGGUUGUAAACUUCUUUUAUAUGGGAAUAAAAUGUUCCACGUGUGGGAUUUUGUAUGUACCAUAUGAAUAAGGAUCGGCUAACUCCGUGCCAGCAGCCGCGGUAAUACGGAGGAUGCGAGCGUUAUCCGGAUUUAUUGGGUUUAAAGGGUGCGCAGGCGGAAUGUCAAGUCAGCGGUAAAAUUUCGGGGCUCAACCCCGUCGUGCCGUUGAAACUGGCGUUCUUGAGUGAGCGAGAAGUAUGCGGAAUGCGUGGUGUAGCGGUGAAAUGCAUAGAUAUCACGCAGAACUCCGAUUGCGAAGGCAGCAUACCGGCGCUCAACUGACGCUCAUGCACGAAAGCGUGGGUAUCGAACAGGAUUAGAUACCCGAGUAAC
RNAcentral lists this ribosomal RNA (467 nucleotides) under uncultured bacterium. RNAcentral describes it as "bacterial SSU rRNA". It matches the Rfam family "Bacterial small subunit ribosomal RNA", at positions 329 to 795 of the family's 1533-position model. The record is from RNAcentral.